RNAcentral lists this ribosomal RNA (443 nucleotides) under uncultured bacterium. RNAcentral's name for it is "SSU rRNA". It matches the Rfam family "Bacterial small subunit ribosomal RNA", at positions 26 to 518 of the family's 1533-position model. The record is from RNAcentral.
AGAGCGAACGCUGGCGGCAGGCCUAACACAUGCAAGUCGAGCGCCCCGCAAGGGGAGCGGCAGACGGGAGAGUAACACGUGGGAACGUACCCUUCAGUUCGGAACAACCCAGGGAAACUUGGGCUAAUACCGAAUACGUCCGUAAGGAGAAAGAUUUAUCGCUGAAGGAUCGGCCCGCGUCUGAUUAGCUUGUUGGUGAGGUAAUGGCUCACCAAGGCUACGAUCAGUAGCUGGUCUGAGAGGAUGAUCAGCCUCACUGGGACUGAGACACGGCCCAAACUCCUACGGGAGGCAGCAGUGGGGAAUAUUGGACAAUGGGUGCAAGCCUGAUCCAGCCAUGCCGCGUGAGUGAUGAAGGCCCUAGGGUUGUAAAGCUCUUUCGCCCGCGACGAUGAUGACGGUAGCGGGAGAAGAAGCCCGGCUAACUUCGUGCCAGCAGCCGC